UGAGUACGAGAUGCUACGGCAUCGAAGCAGUCUAUGUCAUACUUCCAAGAAAAGCUUGCACUGUCAUAAACAAAGAAUGCCUGUACCAUAACCGACACAGGUGGGUAGGUAGAGUAUACUAAGGGGCGCGAGAUAACUCUCUCUAAGGAACUCGGCAAAAUGACUCCGUAACUUCGGGAGAAGGAGUGCCUUAUUUCUAAGGUUGCAAUAACAAGAUCCAAGCAACUGUUUACCAAAAACACAGGUCUCCGCUAAGUCGUAAGACGAUGUAUGGGGGCUGACGCCUGCCCAGUGCCAGAAGGUUAAAGAAGUUGGUUAGCAUUAGCGAAGCUGAUAACUGAAGCCCUGGUGAACGGCGGCCGUAACGAUAACGGUCCUAAGGUAGCGAAAUUCCUUGUCGGGUAAGUUCCGACCCGCACGAAAGGCGUAAUGAUUUGGAUACUGUCUCGGAGAGGGGCUCGGUGAAAUAGACUUGUCUGUGAAGAUGCGGACUACCUGCACCUGGACAGAAAGACCCUAUGAAGCUUUACUGUAACUUGAGAUUGAAAUUGGACUUUAUUUGCGCAGUAUAGGUGGGAGGCGUUGAGAAUAAUCUUGCGGGAUUGUUGGAGCCAUCAGUGAGAUACCACUCUUGUAAUGUUAGAUUUCUAACUUUGUAUCAUUAUCUGGUCAAAGAACAGUUUCAGGCGGGCAGUUUGACUGGGGCGGUCGCCUCCCAAAGGGUAACGGAGGCGCACAAAGGUUUCCUCUGAACGGGUAGAAAUCGUAUCUAGAGUGUAAAGGCAUAAGGAAGCUUGACUGUGAGACCUACAAGUCGAGCAGGGACGAAAGUCGGUCUUAGUGAUCUGACGGUGCUGAGUGGAAAGGCCGUCACUCAACGGAUAAAAGUUACUCUAGGAUAACAGGCUGAUCUCCCCCAAGAGUUCACAUCGACGGGGGGUUUGGCACCUCGAUGUCGGCUCAUCGCAUCCUGGGGCGGUAGUCCGUCCCAAGGGUUGGGCUGUUCGCCCAUGAAAGCGGUACGCGAGCUGGGUUCAGAACGUCGUGAGACAGUUCGGUCCAUAUCCGGUGUAGGCGUUAGAAUAUUGAGAGGAGCCUUCUCUAGUACGAGAGGACCGAGAAGGACAUACCUCUGGUGUACCAGUUAUCGUGCCAACGGUAAACGCUGGGUAGCUAUGUAUGGAGUGGAUAACCGCUGAAAGCAUCUAAGUGGGAAGCCCACCUCAAGAUAAGUAUUCAC
RNAcentral lists this ribosomal RNA (1240 nucleotides) under metagenome. RNAcentral's name for it is "bacterial LSU rRNA". It matches the Rfam family "Bacterial large subunit ribosomal RNA", at positions 1564 to 2815 of the family's 2925-position model. The record is from RNAcentral.